GUAGCACUGCAAACACAUUCAUGAAGAUAGCUGGUGGCAAACUCAAAGAAAGAUAUAUUGCAACUAAAUUAUUAAAUUUUAUGCUGCUUUAGAUGGUUCGAGUGUUGCUCACUUAAACGCUGUGACACACCUACGCGCUGAUACUUUUCAGACGACUAACUUGUACGUGCCCAACUCUAAAAAGGAAUUGCUUGAAAAUAAUACUUGGGUACUAUUGCCAUUUCUGUAAAUGUUAAAGGGUUAAUGCACUGAAAACUCUUAUGCGGCACAAAUCGAAGAGAACACAAAUUUUUGGGUUAAUGACCAGUCCUACUCGACUAUGUCAAGUGAAUACUCGAUAU
Teleopsis dalmanni is the source of this 341-nucleotide long non-coding RNA. RefSeq lists it as uncharacterized. The record is from RefSeq and is a predicted model, not a curated record. NCBI's taxonomy places the organism in Eukaryota, Metazoa, Arthropoda, Insecta, Diptera, Diopsidae. The transcript has 3 exons.